AUUGGGCGUAAGAGCUCGUAGGCGGUUUGUCGCGUCUGCUGUGAAAUCCCGAGGCUCAACCUCGGGCUUGCAGUGGGUACGGGCAGACUAGAGUGCGGUAGGGGAGAUUGGAAUUCCUGGUGUAGCGGUGGAAUGCGCAGAUAUCAGGAGGAACACCGAUGGCGAAGGCAGAUCUCUGGGCCGUAACUGACGCUGAGGAGCGAAAGCAUGGGGAGCGAACAGGAUUAGAUACCCUGGUAGUCCAUGCCGUAAACGUUGGGCGCUAGAUGUAGGGACCUUUCCACGGUUUCUGUGUCGUAGCUAACGCAUUAAGCGCCCCGCCUGGGGAGUACGGCCGCAAGGCUAAAACUCAAAGGAAUUGACGGGGGCCCGCACAAGCGGCGGAGCAUGCGGAUUAAUUCGAUGCAACGCGAAGAACCUUACCAAGGCUUGACAUACACCGGAAACGGCCAGAGAUGGUCGCCCCCUUGUGGUCGGUGUACAGGUGGUGCAUGGUUGUCGUCAGCUCGUGUCGUGAGAUGUUGGGUUAAGUCCCGCAACGAGCGCAACCCUCGUUCUAUGUUGCCAGCGGGUUAUGCCGGGGACUCAUAGGAGACUGCCGGGGUCAACUCGGAGGAAGGUGGGGAUGACGUCAAAUCAUCAUGCCCCUUAUGUCUUGGGCUUCACGCAUGCUACAAUGGCCGGUACAAAGGGCUGCGAUACCGUAAGGUGGAGCGAAUCCCAAAAAGCCGGUCUCAGUUCGGAUUGAGGUCUGCAACUCGACCUCAUGAAGUCGGAGUCGCUAGUAAUCGCAGAUCAGCAACGCUGCGGUGAAUACGUUCCCGGGCCUUGUACACACCGCCCGUCAAGUCAUGAAAGUCGGUAACACCCGAAGCCGGUGGCUAACCCUUG
RNAcentral lists this ribosomal RNA (891 nucleotides) under Curtobacterium sp. RNAcentral's name for it is "bacterial SSU rRNA". It matches the Rfam family "Bacterial small subunit ribosomal RNA", at positions 553 to 1444 of the family's 1533-position model. Lineage: Bacteria; Bacillati; Actinomycetota; Actinomycetes; Micrococcales; Microbacteriaceae. The record is from RNAcentral.